This 737-nucleotide ribosomal RNA is filed under the name cyanobacterium cCLA-11. RNAcentral describes it as "bacterial SSU rRNA". It matches the Rfam family "Bacterial small subunit ribosomal RNA", at positions 20 to 800 of the family's 1533-position model. The record is from RNAcentral. Lineage: Bacteria; Bacillati; Cyanobacteriota.
UGGCUCAGGAUGAACGCUGGCGGUCUGCUUAACACAUGCAAGUCGAACGGAACUCUUCGGAGUUUAGUGGCGGACGGGUGAGUAACGCGUGAGAAUCUGCCUUCAGGUUGGGGACAACAGUUGGAAACGACUGCUAAUACCCAAUGUGCCGAGAGGUGAAAGCUUUAGUGCCUGAGGAUGAGCUCGCGUCUGAUUAGCUAGUUGGAGUGGUAAUGGCACACCAAGGCGACGAUCAGUAGCUGGUCUGAGAGGAUGAUCAGCCACACUGGGACUGAGACACGGCCCAGACUCCUACGGGAGGCAGCAGUGGGGAAUUUUCCGCAAUGGGCGCAAGCCUGACGGAGCAAGACCGCGUGAGGGAGGAAGGCUCUUGGGUUGUAAACCUCUUUUAUCAGGGAAGAAGAUCUGACGGUACCUGAUGAAUCAGCAUCGGCUAACUCCGUGCCAGCAGCCGCGGUAAUACGGAGGAUGCAAGCGUUAUCCGGAUUUAUUGGGCGUAAAGCGUCCGCAGGUGGUUUUACAAGUCUGCUGUUAAAGCGCGAGGCUUAACCUCGUACAGGCAGUGGAAACUGUGAGACUAGAGUGUGGUAGGGGUAGCGGGAAUUCCCAGUGUAGCGGUGAAAUGCGUAGAUAUUGGGAAGAACACCAGCGGCGAAAGCGCGCUACUGGGCCAUCACUGACACUCAUGGACGAAAGCUAGGGGAGCGAAAGGGAUUAGAUACCCCUGUAGUCCUAGC